This 1417-nucleotide long non-coding RNA is filed under the name Mus pahari (shrew mouse). RNAcentral's name for it is "RIKEN cDNA 4930425O10 gene (MGP_PahariEiJ_G0005829.1)". The record is from RNAcentral. Lineage: Eukaryota; Metazoa; Chordata; Mammalia; Rodentia; Muridae.
CAGCGGAAACACGAGUGCAGCGAGACCACCAGUAUAGCGGGACAACAGUGCAGAAGGACCACCAGUGCAGUGGGACCACCAGUGCAGGCCCACCACCUGGGCAGCCUUUUGUUUAUCAUGUCCGUGACUCAAUAUCAGGAAUAGUUAACCAGUGCUUUGCUCUUUGGGGAUUACACAGCUAACCAUCCAUAACCCACAUGUGGUUGUUUUCUCUGCAAAUCAGUUCCAGCACGAUUUUUGAAAGGAAGGAGUGACUAUGACAGAAGAGAUGGAGUGGGUGGCGCUGAAGGGAAGGCCAGCAGGCAUGCCUGUGUCGAUAGAGGACACUGGAUGUGUUCUUACAUUCCACCACUGUAAUAAUUACCAUGUUAUUAUGAUUGGUCUACCUUUCAUUUUGUAUUCCUGGUUUUAAUUACUAGAAUACUGUUUCUUUCUUGUAAGCUAUUAUUUCCCCCUUGUGUGGAGGUUUUUUUUUUUCCAAUAUAUGCUCAUGAAAUUCGAUUUUCAUUUUUCUGCAUAUGUCAUUCAUAUUACAUGCAUUGAACAGUUUCUGUUCCAAAGAUUUUUUUGUUUCAGCCUGAUGUUUAUGUCAUAUCUUGGUAAUUUUCCUCAAAUUCCUGAUGAAUUAAAAAAAUGUAUCCUCCUAUCUAUAAAACAUGCUCAGAAUUGCGCACUAUCUGUUGCAUGAGUUGGGUUCCCCCACACAAGCCACAUUAUUAUCUAUUCACAGUGAACACAAGUAAUGGUUGCAGGAGUCUGGGCAUGGUGACUCAGAGCCACACUGGCUAGGUUUCAAGGUCUUUGCCCAUGGUGGCACUUUACACUGCCCUGUAUGAUAAGGCUCCUGACUUUGAUCCUUAUGAUUAGAUGCCAUAUGCCAAAAUGCCCUUAGAGAUGUGCUUAUAAGACAGUUUCCUUCCCACUUAUUUUUCUUUUUACACACAUAUACAUUUUAAAUCUAGGUCCCACCCAUGAGAGAAAACACUGCUCUCCUUAGUCUGGCUUAUUUUAUUUAACUUGAUUUCUAGUCAUGUCCAACCAUCAUGACGUCAUGAUUCCUUUUUUUUUUUUUUUUAAAUAUAUAUGAUUACAUGGUGUCUGUCUUCAGACACACCAGAAGAGGGCAUGGGAUCCCAUACAGAUGGUUGUGAGCCACCAAGUGGUUGCUGAGAAUUGAACUCAGGACCUCUGGAAGAACAGUCAGGGCUCUAAGCUGCUGAGCUAUCUCUCCAGUCCCAAUUCCAUUUUUCCUUGUGACUGUAUAAAAUUCCAUUGUCUGCUGUUUGAUGUUUUCCUUGUCAGGUCAUCUAUUGACGGACAUCUAGCCUUUCCCUUUUUUUUUUUUCCCUUUCCCUGGCCACCAUGAAUAUAUGCAGCAAUAAACAAGACUCUAUGUUUAAUAAUAAAUAAUAACAAG